AACGUAGGGGGCGAGCGUUGUCCGGAAUCACUGGGCGUAAAGGGUGCGUAGGCGGUCGAGCAAGUCUGGAGUGAAAGUCCAUGGCUCAACCAUGGGAUGGCUCUGGAAACUGCUUGACUUGAGUGCUGGAGAGGCAAGGGGAAUUCCACGUGUAGCGGUGAAAUGCGUAGAGAUGUGGAGGAAUACCAGUGGCGAAGGCGCCUUGCUGGACAGUGACUGACGCUGAGGCACGAAAGCGUGGGGAGCAAACAGG
Molecule: ribosomal RNA, 253 nt
Filed under: uncultured bacterium
Lineage: Bacteria
Description: partial 16S ribosomal RNA
Rfam family: Bacterial small subunit ribosomal RNA
Source: RNAcentral